CCCACAAUUCUUGCUUCUUGGGUGUCGGAGGAGUACGAGGAGAGCAGGGAGGAAGAAGAUGAGGAGGAGCUUCUGCUUCAGCGAAGAGGAGGGGGAGAGAGAAUGUCCUGUGGUUGGGCAGUGCAGCUGCUGAGAGGAGCUGCGUUCUUGUUCAUGACUCAUGAGGUCCACAGCAGUCAACCGGCCGGGAUUCCACAGAGGAACGCGGCGAAGGAAGCCACCACCCACCAUGGGAGGAAGCCCUGGGAAUGGCGGUUUGUGGGGCCUCGCACGUGCGUGGGGCGGCGUGGCAGGUGCGGCCACCCCGGCUUGGCUUAAUUCCCUGGGCGUCAUUGUUUAGUGCUGCCUUUCCUAUUCUCCCUUUUUCUUCGUGUGCGACAUGGCACCUGCUUCUUUGAUUUUUCGGUGUAUUGUUGCUUAUUGUAAUUCAUUUCUGCACCUAAAGCAUUUCAAUGGCAAACCUCAAAGUUUAAAACUCUAA
This is a long non-coding RNA of Setaria italica (foxtail millet), 481 nucleotides long. RefSeq lists it as uncharacterized. NCBI's taxonomy places the organism in Eukaryota, Viridiplantae, Streptophyta, Magnoliopsida, Poales, Poaceae. The transcript is spliced from 2 exons. The record is from RefSeq and is a predicted model, not a curated record.